AUAAGAGACAGGUGAAUCAUCGAAUCUUUGAACGCAUAUUGCGCCCUUUGGUAUUCCGAAGGGCAUGCCUGUUCGAGCGUCAUUAACGACCGUCAAGCCUGGCUUGGUGUUUGGACGUCGGUCGUUUUGAGACCGCGUCCCAAAGACAAUGGCGGUGUCGAUUCAGUCCUCGGUGCAACGAGCUCCACGAGCACGCACCGCACGGGCUAUCGGCGCCCGCCUGGACCCCUUAUUUUCUCAGGUUGACCUCGGAUCAGGUAGGUAUACCCGCUGAACUUAAGCAUAUCAAUAAGCGGAGGA
Molecule: unclassified non-coding RNA, 300 nt
Filed under: uncultured Ascomycota
Lineage: Eukaryota; Fungi; Ascomycota
Description: sequence contains 5.8S rRNA gene, ITS2
Rfam family: 5.8S ribosomal RNA (bases 1-82)
Source: RNAcentral